This 494-nucleotide ribosomal RNA is filed under the name uncultured bacterium. Its description in RNAcentral is "bacterial SSU rRNA". It matches the Rfam family "Bacterial small subunit ribosomal RNA", at positions 20 to 518 of the family's 1533-position model. The record is from RNAcentral.
UGGCUCAGGAUGAACGCUGGCGGCGUGCUUAACACAUGCAAGUCGAGCGAAGCACUCUGAAAGAUCCUCGGGAUGAUUCUAGUGACUUAGCGGCGGACGGGUGAGUAACGCGUGGGCAACCUGCCUGUACAGGGGGAUAACAGUUAGAAAUGACUGCUAAUACCGCAUAAGCGCACAGCAUGGCAUCAUGCAGUGUGAAAAAACUCCGGUGGUACAAGAUGGGCCCGCGUUGGAUUAGCUUGUUGUGGGGUAACGGCCCACCAAGGCGACGAUCCAUAGCCGGACUGAGAGGUCGAACGGCCACAUUGGGACUGAGACACGGCCCAGACUCCUACGGGAGGCAGCAGUGGGGAAUAUUGCACAAUGGAGGAAACUCUGAUGCCAGCGACGCCGCGUGAGUGAUGAAGUAUUUCGGUAUGUAAAGCUCUAUCAGCAGGGAAGAAGACGACGGUACCUGACUAAGAAGCCCCGGCUAACUACGUGCCAGCCGCCGC